RNAcentral lists this long non-coding RNA (203 nucleotides) under Trifolium pratense (red clover). RNAcentral's name for it is "long non-coding RNA (TPRA_LNC012734)". The record is from RNAcentral. Lineage: Eukaryota; Viridiplantae; Streptophyta; Magnoliopsida; Fabales; Fabaceae.
AGGCUAAAUUGCACUUUUGGCCCCCUAAGUUUCAGAAACUUGCAAUUUUGACCCCUUAUGUUUCAAAAUAGCAUUUAUAGUCCCCUAAGUUUCAAAAAGUUGCGAUUUUGGCCCCCUAUGUUUCAAAAUAGCAAUUUUGGCCCCCUAAGUUUCAGUAGUUGCGAUUUUGGCCACCUAUGUUUCAAAAUAGCACUUUUGGCCCA